CUACAUUAGAUUGACCCAUAGGUGAGGAGCGCCACUUGGGCCGAUGCUGGCAUGAUUGAUGCUCGACUCAUCCAUAGGCAAGGAGCACCACUUGGGCCAAGGUCAUCAUGACUGUCGCUCGACUUGCCCAUAGGCAAGAAGCACCUUUGGAGCUGAUGCUGAUGCGGUCUAUGCUCAACUCGUCCAUAGGCAAGGAGCACCACUUAAGCCGAUAUGGUGUGGCCUAUGCUCGACUCACCCA
Molecule: long non-coding RNA, 241 nt
Filed under: Elaeis guineensis (African oil palm)
Lineage: Eukaryota; Viridiplantae; Streptophyta; Magnoliopsida; Arecales; Arecaceae
Description: long non-coding RNA (EGUI_LNC067143)
Source: RNAcentral